This 253-nucleotide ribosomal RNA is filed under the name uncultured bacterium. Its description in RNAcentral is "partial 16S ribosomal RNA". It matches the Rfam family "Bacterial small subunit ribosomal RNA", at positions 524 to 776 of the family's 1533-position model. The record is from RNAcentral. RNAcentral also lists the same sequence under 1 other name.
UACGUAGGGUGCAAGCGUUGUCCGGAAUCAUUGGGCGUAAAGCGCGUGUAGGCGGCUUGGUAAGUCAGCUGUGAAAGCCCAGGGCUCAACCCUGGGAUGCCGGUUGAUACUGCCAAGCUCGAGUCCGGAAGAGGAGUGUGGAAUUCCUGGUGUAGCGGUGAAAUGCGCAGAUAUCAGGAGGAACACCAAUGGCGAAGGCAGCACUCUGGGACGUGACUGACGCUGAGACGCGAAAGCGUGGGGAGCAAACAGG